UACGUAGGGAGCAAGCGUUGUUCGGAUUUACUGGGCGUAAAGGGCGCGUAGGCGGCGAGGUAAGUCACUUGUGAAAUCUCUGAGCUUAACUCAGAACGGCCAAGUGAUACUGCAGUGCUAGAGUGCAGAAAGGGCAAUCGGAAUUCUUGGUGUAGCGGUGAAAUGCGUAGAUAUCAAGAGGAACACCUGAGGCGAAGGCGGGUUGCUAGGCUGACACUGACGCUGAGGCGCGAAAGCCAGGGGAGCAAACGGG
This 253-nucleotide ribosomal RNA is filed under the name uncultured bacterium. RNAcentral's name for it is "partial 16S ribosomal RNA". It matches the Rfam family "Bacterial small subunit ribosomal RNA", at positions 524 to 776 of the family's 1533-position model. The record is from RNAcentral.